Molecule: ribosomal RNA, 253 nt
Filed under: uncultured bacterium
Lineage: Bacteria
Description: partial 16S ribosomal RNA
Rfam family: Bacterial small subunit ribosomal RNA
Source: RNAcentral
UACAGGGGGGGCAAGCGUUGUUCGGAAUUACUGGGCGUAAAGGGCCAGUAGGCGGCCAACUAAGUCACACGUGAAAUCCCCCGGCUUAACCGGGGAACUGCGUCUGAUACUGGAUGGCUUGAGUUCGGGAGAGGGAUGCGGAAUUCCAGGUGUAGCGGUGAAAUGCGUAGAUAUCUGGAGGAACACCGGUGGCGAAGGCGGCAUCCUGGACCGAUACUGACGCUGAGGAGCGAAAGCCAGGGGAGCAAACGGG